Long non-coding RNA from Talpa occidentalis (Iberian mole), 1028 nucleotides. RefSeq lists it as uncharacterized. NCBI's taxonomy places the organism in Eukaryota, Metazoa, Chordata, Mammalia, Eulipotyphla, Talpidae. The record is from RefSeq and is a predicted model, not a curated record. The transcript is spliced from 3 exons.
CUCCUGGAGCGUUUUCUGGGACCUGGGGUGAGGUCAGUGCACGCAGACCGGGUCUCUUCCGGUAGCAGCAAUGUGGGGCGCCAUCAGCACUUUGACGUGGGGACCCUAUUGGCCUGGAGAGGACAAGAAUUCGGCUCAAGCCUGGAAGACGAUGUGGUGGGGAUCCCUCAGGGUACAUCAGAGAACCUUGGUGGCUCUCCUUCAGGUGUUGGAUGGAGAUGAACUACAGUUUGAUUAAAAAAUCUGAGCCCGACUGGUCUGAAUGUGGCCAGUGGAGACCCUGAUGCUGGAGUUGAUGGCGCUCAGGUUGAACCUGAUGUGCAGGUAAAUGAGGCUUAAUAUGUGAUAGCUGUUACUAUGACAUAUAAGUGAGAAAAGAAUCCAUGUUAAUAAAAAACCACAGUCAAUGUUGCAAUAGCAUCUACAAAUUGUUUUAUUUAUGGGUCAUUACCAAAUCAUAGUGUUCUCAUUUUCUUCUGCCAACAAAGCAUUGUAUUCCAAAAUGGAAAUGAAAUAAUAUAAAUUGCAUAUAAACAGUGAGUUCCAUCUAGAUAUGUUUUUUUCCAAUUGUGCAACAUUCUUAAAACAGAAUUUAAUAAAAGGUGUUUUUUCCUAAACAGACACACUAGUAGUGAUUGCAGAAAAUGAAGAAAGAGUACUGAACUGAUAAAAGGUGUCAUCUUCCACCUUCCAUGGAAUUCUGAGUGUUCUUUUGUCCACUCUUUAUAGUGACAUCCAGAUAAAGUGUGGCACUUAAGGGGCUUUUGAAUUCCAGGAUAGUGUCAGUAUGGUUUAUAAAGUAAUUAAACACAGGAAUUAAGCCAGAAAACUUGAAACCUGAAACUGAAACGUGAAAUUGGUAAUAAAGGUAGCGUCACAUGUCAUGGCCCUGCCUUUCUGGUCACAUGUGCCAGUAAAAUCCGCAGCCUUGAUUGCUGGUCACCUACCGCCGAAAAUGGCAGGGCCUCUCUCAUUCCCGCUUCCCGUGGACUGUCCCUUCUGACACAGGACUGGUGGUCUGGUUUGCU